AAAAGAGUACUGAUAUAUUUUUACAGUACCUAGUUCGCACCGAUUAAAAAAAGUACUAAUCAACAGGUAGGUGAGUUCACUCCGUUCAAUCAUUUAUAGGAAGUCCUCAUCGCUGAUGUCCAUCUAGAUCAUCUUGUCUUCCUUGUCCUGCUCGUCCCUCAACGGCUUUUACUUUUACAGAAUCUUCUACACUCUAGGGAGAGACUUUAUUCCUACAUCCAAGGUGUUAGGCUUGGCAGUAUCUUGCUAUAACUUUAGCGGUCCAAAACAUAUCUUACUAAACCGCCCUGCAGCAAUGAGGAGAUCAGCACUGACACCAAAAAAAUUAUAGCCAAGCAAUAGUACAAAAGUCAUCCCCUAACGAUACGUCAAUAGAAUUCUGUUGCCAACCCGUAAAUACGAACCAACUGUGGUUGUCCAAUGUGGUCGCAUCGACCCAUAUCCUGCAAAGGAUGCUCAAAUGCCGGACUUCAACAACAGAGAGACUAUGCCAUCUAAUUUAGGCAUUUCUAUUUAACCUCAAAAAAUCAUUUAUGAUCUGAACCUUUCAAAUUCGUUAAUUCAACGUCCAGGUCGGCGAAAUGCAGUUCCUCUAAAAAAAAUUGAAUGAGUGACUGUAGGUACAGUAGUGUGACCAUAAGUAUGGGCGAUGAAACUACAUGUUACCGUCCAUAAUCAUGUUCUUGGGCUCUGCUUUGCCAUGUGCAUACCAAGGUGC
RNAcentral lists this long non-coding RNA (718 nucleotides) under Triticum aestivum (bread wheat). RNAcentral describes it as "long non-coding RNA (TAES_LNC018240)". Lineage: Eukaryota; Viridiplantae; Streptophyta; Magnoliopsida; Poales; Poaceae. The record is from RNAcentral.